CCACCACCACCACCACCGCCGCCGCCGCCACCGUUAUCAUCGAUGUUAGUCACUAAUAUCGUUUUUCAAAUGUUUUUUUGAAGCUUCACGUGUUUUGAUUGGUCUUGGGGUGUCACAACAGGAUGUUCAGGUACGACAUCACAAUUAACGUCUUAAGUCACCUUGCAGGUUUUGAAUGUUAAAAAGUAUCGUAUGUGAAUCUCCUUAUCAAAACCCUGGUUAGAUGUUAAAGCAGUAUUCAGUGAAUGGAGGUAUUGAAUUGUCCAUUUUUUAAAUGCAAGAAUGGAUCCUGAUUCAGUAUUCGAUCUGUGAGGAUUUAUUUAGAAUUCAUCACAUCUCACACAAAAACGUCCACGUUCAGGCUAGCACCUGCAGGAAAGACGUGAGUAAGAAGAAUCUUUCAGAGAGCCGAUGUUCUGGGGGGAAAGAAAUGGCUGGGAAACGUGGGUAGUGUGGGCUGUAGGAGUUCGACGCACAAAGAAGGACGAGGCGUGGGAAGACGAAUUGACCAGGCGGAGCCGGAGUGCGAGACCAGCCAGUUUCGAGAAACAGAAGCCAUCAUUGUAGCAACAGAAUAAGCAUACUAGAGAUAUAUCUGUGAACUAGAUGAUGGAGCAUAUCCGUCUGUGACUGAUUCCAGUUAGUCAAGUGGACAUCCUCUGAAGACGAAGAGGAUACUCCGGAUACCUGCUGCAUGAAAAAUUUAUAAUUAAGUGGAUGUUAAUGUAUUUGAUGUAGAGAAUAAAUUUUGUUUAAUUACAUUGUG
Molecule: long non-coding RNA, 766 nt
Filed under: Octopus sinensis (East Asian common octopus)
Lineage: Eukaryota; Metazoa; Mollusca; Cephalopoda; Octopoda; Octopodidae
Description: uncharacterized LOC118763434, transcript variant X1
Source: RNAcentral